GAUGAACGCUGGCGGCGUGCUUAACACAUGCAAGUCGAACGAAGCACUUUAUUUGAUUUCCUUCGGGACUGAUUAUUUUGUGACUGAGUGGCGGACGGGUGAGUAACGCGUGGGUAACCUGCCUUGUACAGGGGGAUAACAGUUGGAAACGGCUGCUAAUACCGCAUAAGCGCACAGCAUCGCAUGAUGCAGUGUGAAAAACUCCGGUGGUAUAAGAUGGACCCGCGUUGGAUUAGCUAGUUGGUGAGGUAACGGCCCACCAAGGCGACGAUCCAUAGCCGACCUGAGAGGGUGACCGGCCACAUUGGGACUGAGACACGGCCCAAACUCCUACGGGAGGCAGCAGUGGGGAAUAUUGCACAAUGGGCGAAAGCCUGAUGCAGCGACGCCGCGUGAGCGAAGAAGUAUUUCGGUAUGUAAAGCUCUAUCAGCAGGGAAGAUAAUGACGGUA
RNAcentral lists this ribosomal RNA (451 nucleotides) under uncultured bacterium. RNAcentral's name for it is "bacterial SSU rRNA". It matches the Rfam family "Bacterial small subunit ribosomal RNA", at positions 28 to 477 of the family's 1533-position model. The record is from RNAcentral.